Molecule: long non-coding RNA, 2866 nt
Organism: Salvelinus fontinalis (brook trout)
Lineage: Eukaryota; Metazoa; Chordata; Actinopteri; Salmoniformes; Salmonidae
Exons: 2
Source: RefSeq, a predicted model, not a curated record
AACAGACCUGUCCUAGACUACACAACCUGUCUGUCUGUAACUGACCUGUCCCAGACUACACAACCUGUCUGUCUGUAACAGACCUGUCCUAGACUACACAACCUGUCUGCCUGUCUGUCUGUAACUGACCUGUCCUAGACUACACAACCUGUCUGUCUGUAACUGACCUGUCCCAGACUACACAACCUGUCUGCCUGUCUGUCUGUUACUGACCUGUCCUAGACUACACAACCUGUCUGUCUGUAACUGACCUGUCCUAGACUACACAACCUGUCUGUCUGUAACUGACCUGUCCUAGACUACACAACCUGUCUGUCUGUAACUGACCUGUCCCAGACUACACAACCUGUCUGUCUGUAACUGACCUGUCCCAGACUACACAACCUGUCUGUCUGUAACUGACCUGUCCUAGACUACACAACCUGUCUGUCUGUAACUGACCUGUCCUAGACUACACAACCUGUCUGUCUGUAACUGACCUGUCCUAGACUACACAACCUGUCUGUCUGUAACUGACCUGUCCUAGACUACACAACCUGUCUGUAACUGACCUGUCCUAGACUACACAACCUGUCUGUCUGUAACUGACCUGUCCUAGACUACACAACCUGUCUGUCUGUCUAACUGACCUGUCCUAGACUACACAACCUGUCUGUCUGUAACUGACCUGUCCUAGACUACACAACCUGUCUGUCUGUAACUGACCUGUCCCAGACUACGCAACCUGUCUGUCUGUAACUGACCUGUCCCAGACUACGCAACCUGUCUGUCUGUAACUGACCUGUCCUAGACUACACAACCUGUCUGUCUGUAACUGACCUGUCCUAGACUACACAACCUGUCUGUCUGUAACUGACCUGUCCUAGACUACACAACCUGUCUGUCUGUAACUGACCUGUCCUAGACUACACAACCUGUCUGUCUGUAACUGACCUGUCCCAGACUACACAACCUGUCUGUCUGUAACUGACCUGUCCUAGACUACACAACCUGUCUGUCUGUAACUGACCUGUCCUAGACUACACAACCUGUCUGUCUGUAACUGACCUGUCCCAGACUACACAACCUGUCUGUCUGUAACUGACCUGUCCCAGACUACACAACCUGUCUGUCUGUAACUGACCUGUCCUAGACUACACAACCUGUCUGUCUGUAACAGACCUGUCCCAGACUACACAACCUGUCUGUCUGUAACUGACCAGUCCUAGACUACACAACCUGUCUGUCUGUAACUGACCUGUCCCAGACUACACAACCUGUCUGUCUGUAACAGACCUGUCCUAGACUACACAACCUGUCUGUCUGUAACUGACCUGUCCCAGACUACACAACCUGUCUGUCUGUAACAGACCUGUCCUAGACUACACAACCUGUCUGCCUGUCUGUCUGUAACUGACCUGUCCUAGACUACACAACCUGUCUGUCUGUAACUGACCUGUCCCAGACUACACAACCUGUCUGCCUGUCUGUCUGUUACUGACCUGUCCUAGACUACACAACCUGUCUGUCUGUAACUGACCUGUCCUAGACUACACAACCUGUCUGUCUGUAACUGACCUGUCCUAGACUACACAACCUGUCUGUCUGUAACUGACCUGUCCCAGACUACACAACCUGUCUGUCUGUAACUGACCUGUCCUAGACUACACAACCUGUCUGUCUGUAACUGACCUGUCCCAGACUACACAACCUGUCUGUCUGUAACUGACCUGUCCUAGACUACACAACCUGUCUGUCUGUAACUGACCUGUCCUAGACUACACAACCUGUCUGUCUGUAACUGACCAGUCCUAGACUACACAACCUGUCUGUCUGUAACUGACCUGUCCUAGACUACACAACCUGUCUGUCUGUAACUGACCUGUCCUAGACUACACAACCUGUCUGUCUGUAACUGACCUGUCCUAGACUACACAACCUGUCUGUCUGUAACUGACCUGUCCUAGACUACACAACCUGUCUGUCUGUAACUGACCUGUCCUAGACUACACAACCUGUCUGUCUGUAACUGACCUGUCCUAGACUACACAACCUGUCUGUCUGUAACUGACCUGUCCUAGACUACACAACCUGUCUGUCUGUAACCCUUUCUACUCAGGCACAGGGAGGGGCAGCUCAGAACCUGAGGGGGGGUUGUUUAAGUGUGUAAAGUGUAACAAUGGUCAUUCUGUGUUAGUGGCUGAAAAUGUAGUUUCGCCGGGUCUUCCUCUUCUGACGCUAUGAUGCCUAGAUCUGUCAGUGUGUCGUCUGGUGUUGUGUGGUUACUAACCUUCACAGACAACAGUCUGGUGUUGUGUGGUUACUAGUCUUCACAGACAACAGUCUGGUGCUGUGAGGUUACUAGCCUUCACAGACAACAGUCUGGUGCUGUGUGGUUACUAGUCUUCACAGACAACAGUCUGGUUACUAACCUUCACAGACAACAGUCUGGCGCUGUGAGGUUACUAGUCUUCACAGACAACAGUCUGGUUACUAGCCUUCACAGACAACAGUCUGGUUACUAGUCUUCACAGACAACAGUCUGGCGCUGUGAGGUUACUAGUCUUCACAGACAGCAGUCUGGUGCUGUGAGGUUACUAGCCUUCACAGACAACAGUCUGGCGCUGUGAGGUUACUAGCCUUCAGACAGCAGUCUGGUUACUAGCCUUCACAGACAACAGUCUGGCGCUGUGAGGUUACUAGCCUUCACAGACAGCAGUCUGACACUCCUUCCUGUUCUGAAAGCGUCCCAUGUUUAGAUUUGUUUUGUAUUAUUCUCACUCUAGUCUUUAUUUACACGUGUAAUAUUCCUUGGGAGCUGCUUGUGUCUGGAUGGUGUGCUAACCUGGUUGACAUUAUCAUAAUGUAAUAUAAUUUAUAUCAUUUG